UGGGGUGUAGCUCAAGUGGUAGAGCACACGCUUAGCAUGCAUGAGGUCCUGGGUUCAAUCCCUGGUACCUCCU
This 73-nucleotide transfer RNA is filed under the name Camelus bactrianus (Bactrian camel). It matches the Rfam family "tRNA". From Rfam's summary of the family: Transfer RNA (tRNA) molecules are approximately 80 nucleotides in length. Their secondary structure includes four short double-helical elements and three loops (D, anti-codon, and T loops). Further hydrogen bonds mediate the characteristic L-shaped molecular structure. tRNAs have two regions of fundamental functional importance: the anti-codon, which is responsible for specific mRNA codon recognition, and the 3' end, to which the tRNAs corresponding amino acid is attached (by aminoacyl-tRNA synthetases). tRNAs cope with the degeneracy of the genetic code in two manners: having more than one tRNA (with a specific anti-codon) for a particular amino acid; and 'wobble' base-pairing, i.e. permitting non-standard base-pairing at the 3rd anti-codon position. RNAcentral also lists the same sequence under 3 other names. Lineage: Eukaryota; Metazoa; Chordata; Mammalia; Artiodactyla; Camelidae. The record is from Rfam by way of RNAcentral.